This 492-nucleotide ribosomal RNA is filed under the name uncultured bacterium. RNAcentral's name for it is "partial 16S ribosomal RNA". It matches the Rfam family "Bacterial small subunit ribosomal RNA", at positions 29 to 507 of the family's 1533-position model. The record is from RNAcentral.
AGUGAACGCUGGCGGCAGGCCUAACACAUGCAAGUCGAACGGCAACACAGUAAGAGCUUGCUCUUACGGUUGGCGAGUGGCGGACGGGUGAGGAAUACAUCGGAAUCUACUUUUUCGUGGGUGAUAACGUAGGGAAACUUACGCUAAUACCGCAUAUGACCUACGGGUGAAAGCAGUGGAUCUUCGGACCUUGCGCGAUUGAAUGAGCCGAUGUCGGAUUAGCUAGUUGGCGGGGUAAAGGCCCACCAAGGCGACGAUGCGUAGCCGGUCUGAGAGGAUGAUCGGCCACACUGGAACUGAGACACGGUCCAGACUCCUACGGGAGGCAGCAGUGGGGAAUCUUGCACAAUGGGCGAAAGCCUGAUCCAGCAACGCCGCGUGAGUGAAGAAGGUCUUCGGGUCGUAAAACUCUUUUAUUGGGAAAGAACAGAAGCAUAUUAAACCACGGAUGUCUUGACGGUACCUAAUCAGUAAGCCACGGCUAACUUCGUG